RNAcentral lists this ribosomal RNA (720 nucleotides) under uncultured bacterium. RNAcentral describes it as "bacterial SSU rRNA". It matches the Rfam family "Bacterial small subunit ribosomal RNA", at positions 776 to 1496 of the family's 1533-position model. The record is from RNAcentral.
GAUUAGAUACCCUGGUAGUCCACGCCGUAAACGAUGUCGACUUGGAGGCUGUUCCCUUGAGGAGUGGCUUCCGGAGCUAACGCGUUAAGUCGACCGCCUGGGGAGUACGGCCGCAAGGUUAAAACUCAAAUGAAUUGACGGGGGCCCGCACAAGCGGUGGAGCAUGUGGUUUAAUUCGAUGCAACGCGAAGAACCUUACCUACUCUUGACAUCCACGGAACUUAGCAGAGAUGCUUUGGUGCCUUCGGGAACCGUGAGACAGGUGCUGCAUGGCUGUCGUCAGCUCGUGUUGUGAAAUGUUGGGUUAAGUCCCGCAACGAGCGCAACCCUUAUCCUUUGUUGCCAGCGGUCCGGCCGGGAACUCAAAGGAGACUGCCAGUGAUAAACUGGAGGAAGGUGGGGAUGACGUCAAGUCAUCAUGGCCCUUACGAGUAGGGCUACACACGUGCUACAAUGGCGCAUACAAAGAGAAGCAACCUCGCGAGAGCAAGCGGACCUCAUAAAGUGCGUCGUAGUCCGGAUUGGAGUCUGCAACUCGACUCCAUGAAGUCGGAAUCGCUAGUAAUCGUAGAUCAGAAUGCUACGGUGAAUACGUUCCCGGGCCUUGUACACACCGCCCGUCACACCAUGGGAGUGGGUUGCAAAAGAAGUAGGUAGCUUAACCUUCGGGAGGGCGCUUACCACUUUGUGAUUCAUGACUGGGGUGAAGUCGUAACAAGG